CCAAUUCUGCGGGUUUUAGAUGGGAAAAAUGGAGGAGAACAGAUACGAUGCAUCUUUUUGCUAACUAUAUCACACUUCGCUUUCCUCCAUAGCCACUCUUCUUCUUCUGUCAACUGGUUUUCUCUUUCACUUUGCUCUCAGGCGCUGUGAUUGUAAACAUCGCAGAUCUCAUUUGCAACCCUGAGCGCAAUCCUCCGCCAUGUCGCACGCUCCGCUGAAGGCCGUGACUCUCACGCACGUCCGGUACCGGAAGGGCGAUCAGCUGGGCCAUUUCCUGGCCUGGGUGUCGCUGGUCCCCGUCUUCAUCAGCUUCGGCGGCUUCGUCUCCCACUUCAUGUUCCGCCGCGAGCUCCAGGGCAUGUUCUUCGCCUUAGGCCUGCUUAUUUCCCAGGUCAUCAAUGAGGUCAUCAAGACCUCGGUCCAGCAGGCCCGCCCCGAGACGUGCGUGAUCCUAGAGAUGUGCGAUUCGCAUGGCUGGCCCUCCAGCCACGCGCAGUACAUGUUCUUCUUCGCCGUCUACUUCACGCUCCUCACCCACCGGAGACUCGGCUCCUUGUUCCGCUACCAAAUGUUGUACGCCGUUCUCCUGAUCUGGCCGUUGGCGCUUCUGACUCUCCAGUCGAGGGUCUAUUUAGGUUAUCACACGGUGGCGCAGGUAUUUGCCGGGGCUUCGCUCGGCUCUUUCCUCGGCGCCGCCUGGUUCUGGGUGGUUAAUUCUAAAAUCAGACGUUAUUUUACGGCUAUCGAGGAGAGCUCUUUUGGGAGGUUCUUUUACAUUAAGGACACUUCGGAUAUCCCCAAUGUAUUGAAAUUCGAAUACGACAAUGCUAGGGCUGCUAGGAAACACGUGUCUUACAAGCGUGUCGAUUGAUACGUGAUGAUCAGUUCGCUUCAUUAUUUGCUAAAGGUGGCCUCAAUUCACAAGAGAAGCGGGAGGGCGAUUGAACUGAUUAGGAUUGUAGUUCAGUUUCUAAUACACAGCUUAGCUAUUAUUCACCAGAAGCAACCAUUUCAACAGCAAUUCUCAAUUUCUCAUAUCAGUUUUGACUGUUUCUUUCCUGGAAUCUCUUCAUCUGGACUCUGAAGGUGCUUGGUACCGUUUAAAGGAUCCAUUGCUGGCACAAGAAGAGGAAAGAUAAAAUGUGUUUUGACACCUUUUUACACACUAUCUAUUGCUGGUUUGAUUCAUAGCUUUUUACAGUUUUUCCAUAGUAUGGCCAAACAUUUUAUCUUGUAAGCCUGUCUUAAAAUGAAACUUUUCAGAUGAACUAAUUCUUUAAUAAGUCUACAUAAUUCAAAUAUUUCUCUACACUUA
Molecule: RNA transcript, 1315 nt
Organism: Ipomoea triloba (trilobed morning glory)
Lineage: Eukaryota; Viridiplantae; Streptophyta; Magnoliopsida; Solanales; Convolvulaceae
Gene name: lipid phosphate phosphatase gamma
Exons: 3
Source: RefSeq, a predicted model, not a curated record